CCUACGGGUGGCAGCAGUGAGGAAUAUUGGUCAAUGGGCGUGAGCCUGAACCAGCCAAGCCGCGUGAGGGAAGAAGGUACAGCGUAUCGUAAACCUCUUUUGUCAGGGAACAAAGGCGGGGACUAGUCCCCGGAUGAGGCGACCCGAAGAAAAAGCAUCGGCUAACUCCGUGCCAUCAGCCGCGGGAAUACGGGGGAUGCGAGCGUUAUCCGGAUUUAUUGGGUUUAAAGGGUGCGGAGGCGGCAUGUUAAGUCAGCGGUAAAAACCCGGGGCUAAAACCCGGCGAGCCGUUGAAACUGGCGGGCUGGAGUGGGAGAGAAGUACGCGGAAUGCGUGGUGUAGCGGUGAAAUGCUUAGAUAUCACGCAGAACCCCGAUUGCGAAGGCAGCGUACCGGCUCCACACUGACGCUGAGGCACGAAAGCGUGGGUAUCGAACAGGAUUAGAUACCCCAGUAGUC
Molecule: ribosomal RNA, 459 nt
Filed under: uncultured bacterium
Lineage: Bacteria
Description: partial 16S ribosomal RNA
Rfam family: Bacterial small subunit ribosomal RNA
Source: RNAcentral